GUCGUCGUUUAUGUCGACGAUUACCGGCGAAGCAACUGUAUCUAAUGGUAAGCAAGUUUCUUCUUCUAUGUUGUUGCUUCCGCCACAGGCUGUGAAUUUUCCGACCACCGGAAAACGUUGCCGCGAGCAUGAACAAUCUGAUGCUAUCUCCGGCAGCAAAUCCACCGGCUCCGGCAAGUGUCACUGCAAAAAGAGGAAAGCUAAGGAUCGGAAAGUGAUUAGGAUUCCGGCGAUAAGUACGAGGGUGGCUGAUAUACCGGGAGACGAGUUUUCAUGGAGGAAAUACGGGCAAAA
RNAcentral lists this unclassified non-coding RNA (294 nucleotides) under Hevea brasiliensis (rubber tree). The record is from RNAcentral. Lineage: Eukaryota; Viridiplantae; Streptophyta; Magnoliopsida; Malpighiales; Euphorbiaceae.